UUUUUUUCGCUUUGGGAAUUGCGGAGGACAUUACGAUUUACGGUUCUACCGUUAUCUACCUUUGUCUAUGCGUACUACUUGUUUCCUUGGGGAGUCCGCUCCCCAGGACACUUUAUCAACCCUUUUGCAAUAGCAGUCAGCGUCUGAUUUAUAAGUUAAUAAUUAAAACUUUCAACAAUGGAUCUCUUGGUUCUGGCAUCGAUGAAGAACGCAGCGAAAUGCGAUAAGUAGUGUGAAUUGCAGAAUUCAGUGAAUCAUCGAAUCUUUGAACGCACAUUGCGCCCCUUGGUAUUCCAUGGGGCAUGCCUGUUCGAGCGUCAUUUGAACCCUCAAGCUCUGCUUGGUGUUGGGUGUUUGUCCCGCCUCUGCGUGCGGACUCGCCUUAAAGGAAUUGGCGGCCAUGGAAUUCGGCUUUGAGCGCAGCACAUUGCGGACUCUUUGCUGGUACAUUGGCGUCCAGAAGCCCUUUUUUACUCUUGACCUCGGAUCAGGUAGGGAUACCCGCUGAACUUAUGCAUAUCAAUAAGCGGAGG
RNAcentral lists this ribosomal RNA (533 nucleotides) under Leptosphaeria sp. IP-99. Its description in RNAcentral is "eukaryotic LSU rRNA". The stretch from base 167 to 320 matches the Rfam family "5.8S ribosomal RNA". The record is from RNAcentral. Lineage: Eukaryota; Fungi; Ascomycota; Dothideomycetes; Pleosporales; Leptosphaeriaceae.